GUGCACGCUGGCGGUAGGCCUAACACAUGCAAGUCGAACGGCAGCACAGUAAGAGCUUGCUCUUACGGGUGGCGAGUGGCGGACGGGUGAGGAAUACAUCGGAAUCUACUUUUUCGUGGGGGAUAACGUAGGGAAACUUACGCUAAUACCGCAUACGACCUACGGGUGAAAGCAGGGGAUCUUCGGACCUUGCGCGAUUGAAUGGGCCGAUGUCGGAUUAGCUAGUUGGCGGGGUAAAGGCCCACCAAGGCGACGAUCCGUAGCUGGUCUGAGAGGAUGAUCAGCCACACUGGAACUGAGACACGGUCCAGACUCCUACGGGAGGCAGCAGUGGGGAAUAUUGGACAAUGGGCGCAAGCCUGAUCCAGCCAUACCGCGUGGGUGAAGAAGGCCUUCGGGUUGUAAAGCCCUUUUGUUGGGAAAGAAAAGCAGCAGGUUAAUACCCCGCUGUUCUGACGGUACCCAAAGAAUAAGCACCGGCUAACUUCGUG
RNAcentral lists this ribosomal RNA (491 nucleotides) under uncultured bacterium. Its description in RNAcentral is "partial 16S ribosomal RNA". It matches the Rfam family "Bacterial small subunit ribosomal RNA", at positions 29 to 507 of the family's 1533-position model. The record is from RNAcentral.